GCAGCCUAUGAUGAGAACAUCUCCCACUUACGUUCGAGUUUCCCAACUAUGAGACGACACUCCAUGCACUACCAUCUGAGGCUGC
This is a small nucleolar RNA of Acomys russatus (golden spiny mouse), 85 nucleotides long. Lineage: Eukaryota; Metazoa; Chordata; Mammalia; Rodentia; Muridae. The record is from RefSeq and is a predicted model, not a curated record.